This 477-nucleotide ribosomal RNA is filed under the name uncultured bacterium. RNAcentral's name for it is "partial 16S ribosomal RNA". It matches the Rfam family "Bacterial small subunit ribosomal RNA", at positions 29 to 507 of the family's 1533-position model. The record is from RNAcentral.
AUGAACGCUGGCGGCGUGCUUAACACCUGCAAGUCGAACGGGAAUUAUUUUAUUGAAACUUCGGUCGAUUUAAUUUAAUUCUAGUGGCGGACGGGUGAGUAACGCGUGGGUAACCUGCCUUAUACAGGGGGAUAACAGUCAGAAAUGGCUGCUAAUACCGCAUAAGCGCACAGAGCUGCAUGGCUCAGUGUGAAAAACUCCGGUGGUAUAAGAUGGACCCGCGUUGGAUUAGCUGGUUGGUGGGGUAACGGCCCACCAAGGCGACGAUCCAUAGCCGGCCUGAGAGGGUGAACGGCCACAUUGGGACUGAGACACGGCCCAGACUCCUACGGGAGGCAGCAGUGGGGAAUAUUGCACAAUGGGGGAAACCCUGAUGCAGCGACGCCGCGUGAAGGAAGAAGUAUCUCGGUAUGUAAACUUCUAUCAGCAGGGAAGAUAGUGACGGUACCUGACUAAGAAGCCCCGGCUAACUACGUG